UACGUAGGCAGCGAGCGUUGUUCGGAGUUACUGGGCGUAAAGGGUGUGUAGGCGGUUGUUUAAGUUUGGUGUGAAAUCUCCCGGCUCAACUGGGAGGGUGCGCCGAAUACUGAAUGACUUGGAGUGCGGGAGAGGAAAGUGGAAUUCCUGGUGUAGCGGUGAAAUGCGUAGAUAUCGAGAGGAACACCUGCGGCGAAGGCGGGUUGCUGGGCUGACACUGACGCUGAUGCGCGAAAGCUAGGGGAGCGAACGGG
Molecule: ribosomal RNA, 254 nt
Filed under: uncultured bacterium
Lineage: Bacteria
Description: partial 16S ribosomal RNA
Rfam family: Bacterial small subunit ribosomal RNA
Source: RNAcentral